GGGCCGUUAGCUCAGUUGGUAGAGCACCGGACUUUUAAUCCGGGUGUCGCGGGUUCGACCCCCGCACGGCCCA
RNAcentral lists this transfer RNA (73 nucleotides) under Dehalococcoidia bacterium. Its description in RNAcentral is "tRNA-Lys". It matches the Rfam family "tRNA". Rfam says of the family: Transfer RNA (tRNA) molecules are approximately 80 nucleotides in length. Their secondary structure includes four short double-helical elements and three loops (D, anti-codon, and T loops). RNAcentral also lists the same sequence under 1 other name. The record is from RNAcentral. Lineage: Bacteria; Bacillati; Chloroflexota; Dehalococcoidia.